AUACUUACCUGGCAGGGGAGAUACAAUGAUCAAGUAUGUUGUUCACCCAGGGCGAGGCUCAGCCAUUGCACUCCGGUUGUGCUGACCCCUGUGAAUUCCCCAAAUGUGGGAAUCUCAACUGCAUAAUUUCUGUUAGUGGGGGACUGCGUUCGCGCUCUCCCCUG
This is a small nuclear RNA of Sebastes umbrosus (honeycomb rockfish), 164 nucleotides long. RefSeq annotates it as U1 spliceosomal RNA. NCBI's taxonomy places the organism in Eukaryota, Metazoa, Chordata, Actinopteri, Perciformes, Sebastidae. The record is from RefSeq and is a predicted model, not a curated record. The transcript has a single exon.